Molecule: transfer RNA, 24 nt
Filed under: Bradyrhizobium japonicum
Lineage: Bacteria; Pseudomonadati; Pseudomonadota; Alphaproteobacteria; Hyphomicrobiales; Nitrobacteraceae
Description: partial tRNA-Ile
Source: RNAcentral
GUUCGAGUCCUGCCGGGCCCACCA